Long non-coding RNA from Pseudophryne corroboree (corroboree frog), 610 nucleotides. RefSeq lists it as uncharacterized. Lineage: Eukaryota; Metazoa; Chordata; Amphibia; Anura; Myobatrachidae. The record is from RefSeq and is a predicted model, not a curated record. The transcript has 3 exons.
GAUAGAUUCGGAGUAGUCGUACCAGAACUGCUGCUUGGUUGCUGAUGGUGCUGGGAUCUGAGUGUUUCAUUGAGCAUCUUCAACACAAUCUGCUGCUGUAUGGCUGAAGUGGACAUACAUAUCUUUACUGGAUGUGGACAAGGCCAUUUUGGUCAGAAUCCAUUUGAUGUUUUUUUUUCCGUUUCUUUCUCACAAUCAAGAUGAGGGGAGUGUGGUUGGCGUCUUGGAGGUGUGACCAAAAUUUGGAGUGGUGGUACCGAAUAAACUGUAGACAAUCUUCGUGGCGGAGUAGACUGCUGUGGUUGUGAUUGGACAUCAGACCUUGCUUUCUUUGUUGCUACAUGUACUUUUGUUUAGUGUGCUACAGGAGUCCUCCUUCUGCUGGUCAAAACUUCUUGGGAUGGACCUGGAAUUUAAAGUGUACUUUUGUUAUGGCUAUUCCUUUACAAACAUAACCUAUACUACAAUGGACACUUUACCUGCUUCUGCAGCGUUGUCAUCAUCAGAUGUAAUGGGAGUGACUUUAGGCCGACCAGUACUGCUUUUUUUCAACACUGUAAAUAAUGAAACAAAUAAAAGAACUCAUUUCUUCAUGCUAUUGUUGAUACAU